UAGGGAAUCUUCCACAAUGGGCGCAAGCCUGAUGGAGCAACACCGCGUGAGUGAAGAAGGGUUUCGGCUCGUAAAGCUCUGUUGUUGGAGAAGAAUAUGCGUGAGAGUAACUGUUCACGCAGUGAUGGUAUCCAACCAGAAAGUCACGGCUAACUACGUGCCAGCAGCCGCGGUAAUACGUAGGUGGCAAGCGUUAUCCGGAUUUAUUGGGCGUAAAGCGGGCGCAGGCGGUUGCUUAGGUCUGAUGUGAAAGCCUUCGGCUUAACCGAAGAAGUGCAUCGGAAACCGGGCGACUUGAGUGCAGAAGAGGACAGUGGAACUCCAUGUGUAGCGGUGGAAUGCGUAGAUAUAUGGAAGAACACCAGUGGCGAAGGCGACUGUCUGGUCUGCAACUGACGCUGAGGCUCGAAAGCAUGGGUAGCGAACAGGAUUAGAUACCCUGGUAGUCCAUGCCGUAAACGAUGAGUGCUAGGUGUUGGAGGGUUUCCGCCCUUCAGUGCCGGAGCUAACGCAUUAAGCACUCCGCCUGGGGAGUACGACCGCAAGGUUG
This 550-nucleotide ribosomal RNA is filed under the name uncultured bacterium. RNAcentral describes it as "bacterial SSU rRNA". It matches the Rfam family "Bacterial small subunit ribosomal RNA", at positions 355 to 896 of the family's 1533-position model. The record is from RNAcentral.